CUGCUUGUUAGCAUAACAACACCUAUUCAAACCUUUCAAUAUGUCUAGCCACAUUUUUUUUCAUUAAUAAAACCACCAAUGUCAUUGUUCCACACACCCAGUCCUCCAUCCAACUAACAUGCCCGAAUUUUCCAGCAUGAAAGGUGCAAUUCAAGGUGUGACUAACAAGAUACAACAAAGGCUCCAAAUAUGUCACAUAAUAACUACACGACAUCAAGGAACUUUCAUAUGAACCUGAUGUCAUAAAUUCACCAUUAGAUGAUAUUGAUUUAGUUAUCCACACACUUAACGACCUUGAUCCAUAGUACAAAAAAAUACCGGCUUCUCUUUGUACAUCUUAUUCACCUUCAUCAAAUAAAGAAGACGAUAACACUCUUCCAAUUGCUCAUAUAGGAUUUGAAGACAAUGGAGCCUCUUCUCAAAGGACUGGGUGUUGGUGAUUUUAGUAUCAUCAAUGUAUUUUAGUAGUAAUGUGAUUUACUAGAGGCCGAUGCAAUUGUGCGUUAAGCUUGAAGCAAGUCAGGAUAGUGCGGAGUGCAUGCUCGUCGAGCCAAAGUGUAAUUGAAUACGAAUAAUUGAAACGGGGUUCCAAGGGGCGGAGCCCCUGGCGGGGUACGAGGCAGCGCCCCGUCGGGGUCCUAGGGGCAGAUCCCUUGGCUGGGGUCCCACUGAACAGUUGUGUCUUUUCGGUUUCUGUUAUUGUUCUCCUACAUAAGGAGUCAUUUGGCCUCGAUUUUGGACACACGAAAAACUAUACUUUCUCUCUACAUUCCUGAUCAGUUCUCUUUUUCCAGAAACAGAUUGUUCUUCGAGAAUUAUCCCCACAAAGAUUUCGUGAACCCAUGCAAGAAUAGGGUCGAAAUACUUUGUUCGGAAAGUGUACGAACACGAUUCUUAGAAGUUAUCCAGGAUUAUCAUACCCGAAAUUCUAACACUGCGUAGCCACAAACUCUGCCAUCUACCUCACUCCAUCAACUAUCCAAUGACCUUAUUCAUCAACUUCUCAUCCCAUCCACCAUAGCACCAUAUUCUUGGCCAUCCUAGUGAAAGAAUAAUGAGACAUCUUAUUUCCCUUCAUCAAAUCAAGUUGACCAAUUCAUCACCAUGUAUUUUCUCCGGCCUGAAUUAUAAGAAAAUAUUCUCUUUUUAGGUUUAUUGACUAAUGAAUGUAUCUUGUUUGCAUAAAGACCAAAUACAUUUAUUAUUCAAUAAACUUAAAAAGAGAAUAUUUGCUUAUAAUAAUGGACAGAGGGAAUACCUCUUGUUAAAGUUCCAAAAGCCAUAUGCUUUCUUUUACUUCUUCUUGUAUUAUAAGCAAUAGGCCAUAAAACUUAUUUACAGUGAUGUAUGGGGCUCUGCUCCUAUUAGAUCCUUAGAUGACUACUUAUAUUAUUUAAUAUUUAUAGAUCAAUUUCUCUAAAUAUAUUUGGCUAUAUCCAAUAAAAAGAUAAGUCUGAUGCCUCUGAUAUUUUUCCACAACUCAAAGCCAUAUAUUGUUGAAAAGUUUUUCAAUUUACCAAUCAUUACACUUUAUUUAGGAAAUGGAGGUGAAUAUAUUAAACUUAAACAAUUUUUCUAAAUAAAUGGCAUAUCUAGCCAUCUAGGAUAUCAAACCCAUAAUUUCUCCCAACUGAGGUAAGAAAUAUUUUUCUUAGUAGUAAUUGCAUAUGAAGUUAGAUAUUAUCAUAUAAUCUAGGAUAUCAAACCCACAACAUUGAUGUAUAAGUGAGAGUAAAUCACUCUUUUGGAAUUUUUAAUGUUUUUGGAAUUGUUGUCAUUCAUUUGGCUCCAAUUUUUUUCUUGGAAUGAAUCAUGUUCCUUGUAUUGGAUUGUAUUAUUCUGAGAUCUAAAUUAUUGUUCUUUAUUUUUCUAGUAGUUUUAUCCUAAUAAUCAUGGCUAGUUUGUGAAAACUUGACUUUUCAAGGAGUAAUUGGUAUACUUGUUACUGAUUAAUUAAAAGAAAAGUAGUUGUCACUAAGUUAAAAUCAUCUCAUUCAAACCGAAGGGUUGGAUGGUCCUAAACUCGCUCAAGGGUCAAAAUUAUAUCCAUAAAAAAUCAAAAUAUCCUUAAAAAAUAAAAUAUAUAACAAUGAAAACAAUUCACACCCAUACAUAUUACAUCUUCGAUAUUAGCUUUGAUCAUAUAAUUGUUUAAGCAAAAAAAUUAUCAUAUGAAACUUUUAAUUUAAAAUAAAUGCUAACAUCAAAGGAACUUUUGAUGCAUUUUCUUUCCAAUCAAUUCUUUUCAAUAUUCAUCAUGAGUAUUACUAUUUCUAUUGGGGGACUUUUUUUUUUCUUUUUUUAAAUAAUUCCAUUUUUGUUAUAAAGAUAAUAUAAUUUUUAAAAAGAUAAUAUAAAGUUAUAUUUUCUAUUAUGACAUUUAUAAAUAAUUCCAUUUUUGUACAUGGCUUCUUGCAAUUUCUAAGGGGUAAAAAUUAUAUAUUUAAAUUUAACAAAGUAAGAAAUGAAACUUAAAAAUGAUCAAACAUAUUUCUAUUUUCUUCAUGCAAAAUUAGAAAAAUAUGACUCAAAUUCCCAAAAUUGUUUAUGGUUUGAUAAUCUUUCUCUCUCUAUUUGUUGAAAUCUAUGGAGGUUAUUUUCUUUGCAAACAUUGGUGGCAUUGUCCAAAAAAUUUGUGUUUCCGUCCUCAACGUAGGAAAUGUGUUGAUUUCUAUUGUGAAUGUGGGUAAAGCAUAAGAAUCAAGUAGAUAAAAAUUUUGCAUGAGUUUGUUGAUAUGUUAAUAUAUAUGAAUAAAUAUUAGUGUACCCUCAAGGAAUAAUUUGUUAGAACAAAAAUCUAUAUAGAAGAUUAAAGAAAUAAAAAUAAAAGACAAUAAAUAUGAUCGAUUUUUGUCGAAAUGACUCGGCAUAUAGUAUUUAUCUCUACGACUAUAAAAGAGUUAUAAUUCCUUUUUAUUUUUGUAAUACGAUUCAUUUUUAAAAAAAUACUCCUCAACUUGUACCGCGCGGAUGGCUUCUCACCUUCUCACAACAAACAAUUGCUUUUCAGACAUGUAUGAGUCAAAUGCAAUGGUCCAUUAAUUCUUUAAGUAUAUAUAUCUUGACCAUUAAUUCUUUUUAAUCUAAUGGUUAAAAAAAAUAAGGAAUUAAAUGUGGAGA
This is a long non-coding RNA of Vicia villosa (hairy vetch), 3120 nucleotides long. RefSeq lists it as uncharacterized. The transcript is spliced from 3 exons. The record is from RefSeq and is a predicted model, not a curated record. NCBI's taxonomy places the organism in Eukaryota, Viridiplantae, Streptophyta, Magnoliopsida, Fabales, Fabaceae.